RNAcentral lists this ribosomal RNA (908 nucleotides) under uncultured bacterium. Its description in RNAcentral is "bacterial SSU rRNA". It matches the Rfam family "Bacterial small subunit ribosomal RNA", at positions 8 to 916 of the family's 1533-position model. The record is from RNAcentral.
AGAGUUUGAUCAUGGCUCAGGAUGAACGCUAGCGGCAGGCCUAACACAUGCAAGUCGAACGGCAGCACGACCUUCGGGUUGGUGGCGAGUGGCGCACGGGUGCGUAACGCGUAUAGAACCUACCCUUUACAGGGGGAUAGCCCGGAGAAAUCCGGAUUAAUACCCCGUAGUACUGAGUUCCGGCAUCGGGACUCAGUUAAAGCUGAGGCGGUAAAGGAUGGCUAUGCGUCCUAUUAGUUAGUAGGUGAGGUAACGGCUCACCUAGGCUACGAUAGGUAGGGGCCCUGAGAGGGGGAUCCCCCACACUGGUACUGAGACACGGACCAGACUCCUACGGGAGGCAGCAGUGAGGAAUAUUGGACAAUGGUCGAGAGACUGAUCCAGCCAUGCCGCGUGCAGGAAGACAGCCUUAUGGGUUGUAAACUGCUUUUGUACGGGAAGAAUAAUGCCCACGUGUGGGCAGAUGACGGUACCGUACGAAUAAGGACCGGCUAACUCCGUGCCAGCAGCCGCGGUAAUACGGAGGGUCCAAGCGUUAUCCGGAAUCAUUGGGUUUAAAGGGUCCGCAGGCGGGCCAGUAAGUCAGGGGUGAAAGUUUGCGGCUCAACCGUAAAAUUGCCUUUGAUACUGCUGGUCUUGAGUUACGGUGAAGUGGCUGGAAUAUGUGGUGUAGCGGUGAAAUGCAUAGAUAUCACAUAGAACACCGAUUGCGAAGGCAGGUCACUAACCGCCAACUGACGCUGAUGGACGAAAGCGUGGGGAGCGAACGGGAUUAGAUACCCCGGUAGUCCACGCCGUAAACGAUGGACACUAGCUGUCGGGCUUUAGGGCUCGGCGGCCAAGCGAAAGUGAUAAGUGUCCCACCUGGGGAGUACGUUCGCAAGAAUGAAACUCAAAUGAAUUGACGG